AGGGCACCACCAGGAGUGGAGCCUGCGGCUUAAUUUGACUCAACACGGGGAAACUCACCCGGCCAGGACACAAUAAGGAUUGACAGAUUGAUAGCUCUUGCUUGAUUUUGUGGGUGGUGGUGCAUGGCCGUUCUUAGUUGGUGGAGCGAUUUGUCUGGUUAAUUCCGAUAACGAACGAGACUCUAGCCUAUUAAAUAGACGAUAUAUUAUUAGUUUAUCGAGCUUCUUAGAGGGACAGGCAGCUUCUAGCUGCACGAGAUUGAGCAAUAACAGGUCUGUGAUGCCCUUAGAUGUCCGGGGCUGCACGCGCGCUACAAUGAUAAUAGCAGCGUGCAUUAAAACCUUUUCUGGUAAGAAUUGGUAAACACGAAAUAUUGUCGUGCUUGGGAUAGGGGAUUGAAAUUAUUGCCCUUAAACGAGGAAUUCCCAGUAAGUGCGAGUCAUUAGCUUGCGUUGAUUACGUCCCUGCCCUUUGUACACACCGCCCGUCGCUACUACCGAUUGGAAGAUUUAGUGAAU
RNAcentral lists this ribosomal RNA (519 nucleotides) under uncultured eukaryote. RNAcentral's name for it is "SSU rRNA". It matches the Rfam family "Eukaryotic small subunit ribosomal RNA", at positions 1161 to 1706 of the family's 1831-position model. The record is from RNAcentral.